RNAcentral lists this ribosomal RNA (386 nucleotides) under uncultured bacterium. Its description in RNAcentral is "bacterial SSU rRNA". It matches the Rfam family "Bacterial small subunit ribosomal RNA", at positions 30 to 417 of the family's 1533-position model. The record is from RNAcentral.
AUUGAACGCUGGCGGCAUGCCUUACACAUGCAAGUCGAACGGCAGCACGGGAGCAAUCCUGGUGGCGAGUGGCGAACGGGUGAGUAAUAUAUCGGAACGUGCCCAGUCGUGGGGAUAACGUAGCGAAAGCUACGCUAAUACCGCAUACGAUCUACGGAUGAAAGCGGGGGAUCGCAAGACCUCGCGCGAUUGGAGCGGCCGAUAUCAGAUUAGGUAGUUGGUGAGGUAAAGGCUCACCAAGCCGACGAUCUGUAGCUGGUCUGAGAGGACGACCAGCCACACUGGGACUGAGACACGGCCCAGACUCCUACGGGAGCAGCAGUGGGGAAUUUUUGGGACAAUGGGCGCAAGCCUGAUCAGCAAUGCCGCGUGCAGGAUGAAGGCCU